Molecule: ribosomal RNA, 465 nt
Filed under: uncultured bacterium
Lineage: Bacteria
Description: partial 16S ribosomal RNA
Rfam family: Bacterial small subunit ribosomal RNA
Source: RNAcentral
CCUACGGGAGGCAGCAGUAGGGAAUUUUCCACAAUGGACGAAAGUCUGAUGGAGCAACGCCGCGUGAGUGAAGAAGGGUUUCGGCUCGUAAAGCUCUGUUGGUAGUGAAGAAAGAUAGAGGUAGUAACUGGCCUUUAUUUGACGGUAAUUACUUAGACAGUCACGGCUAACUACGUGCCAGCAGCCGCGGUAAUACGUAGGUGGCAAGCGUUGUCCGGAUUUAUUGGGCGUAAAGCGAGUGCAGGCGGUUCAAUAAGUCUGAUGUGAAAGCCUUCGGCUCAACCGGAGAAUUGCAUCAGAAACUGUUGAACUGGAGUGCAGAAGAGGAGAGUGGAACUCCAUGUGUAGCGGUGGAAUGCGUAGAUAUAUGGAAGAACACCAGUGGCGAAGGCGGCUCUCUGGUCUGCAACUGACGCUGAGGCUCGAAAGCAUGGGUAGCGAACAGGAUUAGAUACCCCAGUAGUC